GGUUUCCCUUUCUCUUGCUUUUUCUUAAUUGGGUACAAUGGUGUGUUACAAGGGGAGGUGGUCUGGACAACUACCCCUGCCUGCAGAAACUCUUGCACAGAUUGCAAAAUAGCAUCUUCCUGUGCUGGGCUUAGGGGGUAUUGUUUUUGAUAGGGAGGUUUGGCUCCGGGCAGGAGAUUCACUUUGACUGGGGGCACAGAGAGUCUGCCUGCAUCUGUCUUCC
Molecule: non-coding RNA, 223 nt
Organism: Pelobates cultripes (western spadefoot toad)
Lineage: Eukaryota; Metazoa; Chordata; Amphibia; Anura; Pelobatidae
Source: the annotation of a GenBank genome assembly